UCACGGAGGAAAAGAAACCAACAGGGAUUGCCUUAGUAGCGGCGAGUGAAGCGGCAAAAGCUCAAAUUUGAAAUCUGGCACUUUCAGUGUCCGAGUUGUAAUUUGAAGAAGGUAUCUUUGGGUCUGGCUCUUGUCUAUGUUUCUUGGAACAGAACGUCACAGAGGGUGAGAAUCCCGUGCGAUGAGAUGUCCCAGACCUAUGUAAAGUUCCUUCGAAGAGUCGAGUUGUUUGGGAAUGCAGCUCUAAGUGGGUGGUAAAUUCCAUCUAAAGCUAAAUAUUGGCGAGAGACCGAUAGCGAACAAGUACAGUGAUGGAAAGAUGAAAAGAACUUUGAAAAGAGAGUGAAAAAGUACGUGAAAUUGUUGAAAGGGAAGGGCUUGAGAUCAGACUUGGUAUUUUGUAUGUUACUCUCUCGGGGGUGGCCUCUACAGUUUACCGGGCCAGCAUCAGUUUGAGCGGUAGGAUAAGUGCAAAGAAAUGUGGCACUGCUUCGGUAGUGUGUUAUAGUCUUUGUCGAUACUGCCAGCUUAGACUGAGGACUGCGGCUUCGGCCUAG
Molecule: ribosomal RNA, 557 nt
Filed under: Lodderomyces parapsilosis
Lineage: Eukaryota; Fungi; Ascomycota; Pichiomycetes; Serinales; Debaryomycetaceae
Description: Candida parapsilosis partial large subunit ribosomal RNA
Rfam family: Eukaryotic large subunit ribosomal RNA
Source: RNAcentral